RNAcentral lists this ribosomal RNA (253 nucleotides) under uncultured bacterium. Its description in RNAcentral is "partial 16S ribosomal RNA". It matches the Rfam family "Bacterial small subunit ribosomal RNA", at positions 524 to 776 of the family's 1533-position model. The record is from RNAcentral.
UACGGAGGGUGCAAGCGUUAUCCGGAUUCACUGGGCUUAAAGCGUGCGCAGGCGGCUUUGUAAGCCAGAUGUGAAAGCCCCGGGCUCAACCUGGGAAUGGCAUUUGGGACUGCAAGGCUUGAGUGCGGCAGAGGAGACUGGAAUUCCUGGUGUAGCAGUGAAAUGCGUAGAUAUCGGGAGGAACACCUGUGGCGAAAGCGGCGCACUGGACCGCAACUGACGCUGAGGCGCGAAAGCUAGGGGAGCAAACAGG